This 468-nucleotide ribosomal RNA is filed under the name uncultured bacterium. RNAcentral describes it as "partial 16S ribosomal RNA". It matches the Rfam family "Bacterial small subunit ribosomal RNA", at positions 28 to 507 of the family's 1533-position model. The record is from RNAcentral.
GACGAACGCUGGCGGCGUGCUUAACACAUGCAAGUCGAACGGAAAGGCCCUGCUUUUGUGGGGUGCUCGAGUGGCGAACGGGUGAGUAACACGUGAGUAACCUGCCCUUGACUUUGGGAUAACUUCAGGAAACUGGGGCUAAUACCGGAUAGGAGCUCCUGCUGCAUGGUGGGGGUUGGAAAGUUUCGGCGGUUGGGGAUGGACUCGCGGCUUAUCAGCUUGUUGGUGGGGUAGUGGCUUACCAAGGCUUUGACGGGUAGCCGGCCUGAGAGGGUGACCGGCCACAUUGGGACUGGGAUACGGCCCAGACUCCUACGGGAGGCAGCAUUGGGGAAUAUUGCACAAUGGGCGGAAGCCUGAUGCAGCAACGCCGCGUGCGGGAUGACGGCCUUCGGGUUGUAAACCGCUUUCGCCUGUGACGAAGCGUGAGUGACGGUAAUGGGUAAAGAAGCACCGGCUAACUACGUG